Unclassified non-coding RNA from Pongo abelii (Sumatran orangutan), 146 nucleotides. It matches the Rfam family "Metazoan signal recognition particle RNA". Rfam says of the family: The signal recognition particle (SRP) is a universally conserved ribonucleoprotein. It is involved in the co-translational targeting of proteins to membranes. The eukaryotic SRP consists of a 300-nucleotide 7S RNA and six proteins: SRPs 72, 68, 54, 19, 14, and 9. Lineage: Eukaryota; Metazoa; Chordata; Mammalia; Primates; Hominidae. The record is from Ensembl.
GCCAGGCAUGGUAGCGUGUGCCUGUAGUCCCAGCUUCUCAGGAGGCUGAGACAGGAGGAUCACUUGAGCCCGGGAGUUUGAGACUGCAGUGAGCUGUGAUCACCACUGCACUCUAGACUGGGCAACAGAGCGAGAUCCUGUCUCAA